AUUGAACGCUGGCGGAAUGCUUUACACAUGCAAGUCGAGCGGCAGCACGGGGGCAACCCUGGUGGCGAGCGGCGAACGGGUGAGUAAUACAUCGGAACAUGCCCAGUCGUGGGGGAUAACACUUCGAAAGAAGUGCUAAUACCGCAUACGUCCUGAGGGGGAAAGCGGGGGAUCGCAAGACCUCGCGCGAUUGGAGUGGCCGAUGUCAGAUUAGCUAGUUGGUGGGGUAAAGGCCUACCAAGGCAACGAUCUGUAGCUGGUCUGAGAGGGUGAUCAGCCACACUGGGACUGAGACACGGCCCAGACUCCUACGGGAGGCAGCAGUGGGGAAUUUUGGACAAUGGGGGCAACCCUGAUCCAGCCAUUCCGCGUGAGUGAAGAAGGCCUUCGGGUUGUAAAGCUCUUUCGGCAGGAACGAAACGGUGAGCUCUAACAUAGCUUGCUAAUGACGGUACCUGAAGAAGAAGCACCGGCUAACUACGUG
Molecule: ribosomal RNA, 484 nt
Filed under: uncultured bacterium
Lineage: Bacteria
Description: partial 16S ribosomal RNA
Rfam family: Bacterial small subunit ribosomal RNA
Source: RNAcentral